Molecule: ribosomal RNA, 494 nt
Filed under: uncultured bacterium
Lineage: Bacteria
Description: bacterial SSU rRNA
Rfam family: Bacterial small subunit ribosomal RNA
Source: RNAcentral
AAUGAACGCUAGCGGCAGGCCUAAUACAUGCAAGACGAACGGUAAGUUGAGUAGCAAUACUUAGCCAAGAGUGUCGUACGGGUGCGUAACACGUAUGCAACCUACCCUAUACAGGAGGAUAGCCUAGGGAAACCUGGAUUAACCCUUCAUAGUAUUAUUGGAUGGCAUCAUUUGAUAAUUAAAACUGAGGUGGUAUAGGAUGGGCAUGCGUCUGAUUAGUUAGUUGGCGGGGUAAUGGCCCACCAAGACGAUGAUCAGUAGGGGUUCUGAGAGGAAGAUCCCCCACACUGGCACUGAGAUACGGGCCAGACUCCUACGGGAGCAGCAGUAGGGAAUAUUGGGUCAAAUGGAUGCAAGUCUGAACCAGCCAUGCCGCGUGCAGGAAGAAGGCCUUCUGGGUUGUAAACUGCUUUUGCCAGGGGAUAAAAUUUCCAUGCGUGGAAAACUGAAGGUACCUGGUGAAUAAGCCACGGCUAACUACGUGCCAGCAGCCG